UACGUAGGGGGCGAGCGUUGUCCGGAAUCAUUGGGCGUAAAGAGCGUGUAGGCGGCUCGGUAAGUCCGCUGUGAAAACCCGGGGCUCAACCCCGGGCGUGCAGUGGAUACUGCCGGGCUAGAGGACGGCAGAGGCGAGUGGAAUUCCCGGUGUAGCGGUGAAAUGCGCAGAUAUCGGGAGGAACACCAGUAGCGAAGGCGGCUCGCUGGGCCGUUCCUGACGCUGAGACGCGAAAGCUAGGGGAGCGAACAGG
This 253-nucleotide ribosomal RNA is filed under the name uncultured bacterium. Its description in RNAcentral is "partial 16S ribosomal RNA". It matches the Rfam family "Bacterial small subunit ribosomal RNA", at positions 524 to 776 of the family's 1533-position model. The record is from RNAcentral.